GCAAUUGGAGAUUAUUAGUGGCAAAAAGAAUACCAGCUUCUAUUGCAGUGACCAACAUAUAGGCUUCCUAGCUUAUGCAUGGCACUCAUGGAAUGAAGGCAGGGGUUUGGAGUUGGUUGAUGAAGUAUUGGCAGAUUCAUAUUCACC
Non-coding RNA from Prunus avium (sweet cherry), 147 nucleotides. The record is from RefSeq and is a predicted model, not a curated record. NCBI's taxonomy places the organism in Eukaryota, Viridiplantae, Streptophyta, Magnoliopsida, Rosales, Rosaceae.